CACGUAGGGCGCAAGCGUUGUCCGGAAUUAUUGGGCGUAAAGAGCUCGUAGGUGGUUUGUUACGUCUGCUGUGAAAACCUAGGGCUUAACCCUGGGCUUGCAGUGGAUACGGGCAGACUAGAGGUAGGUAGGGGAGAAUGGAAUUCCUGGUGUAGCGGUGAAAUGCGCAGAUAUCAGGAGGAACACCGGUGGCGAAGGCGGGUCUCUGGGCCGGUACUGACGCUGAGGUGCGAAAGCGUGGGGAGCAAACAGG
Molecule: ribosomal RNA, 253 nt
Filed under: uncultured bacterium
Lineage: Bacteria
Description: partial 16S ribosomal RNA
Rfam family: Bacterial small subunit ribosomal RNA
Source: RNAcentral